This is a long non-coding RNA of Dromiciops gliroides (monito del monte), 1008 nucleotides long. RefSeq lists it as uncharacterized. The transcript has 3 exons. The record is from RefSeq and is a predicted model, not a curated record. Lineage: Eukaryota; Metazoa; Chordata; Mammalia; Microbiotheria; Microbiotheriidae.
GGGUUAAGUGACUUGCCCAGGGUCACACAGCUAAGGAGAAUUCACCCAUGGAACUACCGAGGAUGUGAUUCUGCUCUUAUAUUAACUUUCCAGUAGAUUACAAAAAGUAAUCAGAACCAAAUGGAAGAUAUACUGUCCAUUAUAUAUUCUCAGACCUGAAGCAGUAAUUUUUUUCCCCUGCAUACUAAAGCAAGCAAAUGACCUUUUCAUUGAAAAUGCCAACAAAGAUGACUAACAGGGACGCAAUACCCAAGAUAAGUAAAGAGACAAGAGAAUACUUUUCUGUUCUUGAAUUAAAAUCACUUGGACCAGAUGAACUGCAUCCUUUCAUACUGAAAAAAGUGAAAGAUGUGAAUGCUGAGCCACUGCCAGUAAUAUUUGAAAGAUCAUGGAAAACAGAGGAAUGACUAGAUUGGAGAAGGGACAAUUUUCAUAAAAAGGGGACACAAUGGAGUCUGCAAAUUAUAGACUAGUGAACAUAGCUUCAAAUUCCUGAUAACAUUGGAGAAUUAAUCAUGAAAGAGUUGGUUGGGGUUUCAUCUAUCAAUAAAAGUAGUGAUUACAAAGAAUUUUGUCAAGAAUAGGUCAUGCUAGACUGACUUAAUUUUUUUAAAUGAUUACUAAAUAAAUUAGGAUUAUUCUGUAAAUGUUAUUUAUUUAGAUUUUUGCACACAAUCUCAUACUAUUUUUUUAAAAAAUAUUUUGAUUGAUAUCUUCUGUUUUUAUAUCUUUAUAGUUUUCAAUAUUAUCUCUCCUCCUCCCUGAGAAUAAUCUCAUAUGAUUUUAAGAUAAAAAAGAAGCAUACAAGUGAUCAAAUUAUUGAGAAAAUACAAAAAUAUAUUUAAUGUGCAAUACCUGUGGACUGCUCAUCUUCAUGAAAGGAAAGGUUGGGGGUUGCUUCUUAUAUAUUUUCAUUUGAACUGUGUUUGUUCUUUACAAUUUUGUUAAUUUACUUUUUAUUUUUAUGAGUGUAGUUCUUUUCAUUUAUAUUAUUGUAGUCAUUAUGCA